Molecule: non-coding RNA, 65 nt
Filed under: [Clostridium] symbiosum
Lineage: Bacteria; Bacillati; Bacillota; Clostridia; Lachnospirales; Lachnospiraceae
Also listed under: 1 other name
Source: RNAcentral
AGUCGAAACCGGCAGAGACCGGUCAUGCAGGGAUAGCCUCCUGCAUCUGAUGAGGACAGGCUGAA